GACGAACGCUGGCGGCGUGCUUAACACAUGCAAGUCGAACGCUGAAGCCCUGGCUUUUGUUGGGUUGGAUGAGUGGCGAACGGGUGAGUAACACGUGAGUAACCUGCCCUCUUCUUUGGGAUAACGCCCGGAAACGGGUGCUAAUACUGGAUAUUCACUGGCCUUCGCAUGGGGGUUGGUGGAAAGGUUUGUUCUGGUGGGGGAUGGGCUCGCGGCCUAUCAGCUUGUUGGUGGGGUGAUGGCCUACCAAGGCUUUGACGGGUAGCCGGCCUGAGAGGGUGACCGGUCACAUUGGGACUGAGAUACGGCCCAGACUCCUACGGGAGGCAGCAGUGGGGAAUAUAGCACAAUGGGCGAAAGCCUGAUGCAGCGACGCCGCGUGAGGGAUGGAGGCCUUCGGGUUGUAAACCUCUUUCGCUCAUGGUCAAGCCGCAACUGUGGGUUGUGGUGAGGGUAGUGGGUAAAGAAGCGCCGGCUAACUACGUG
RNAcentral lists this ribosomal RNA (486 nucleotides) under uncultured bacterium. RNAcentral's name for it is "partial 16S ribosomal RNA". It matches the Rfam family "Bacterial small subunit ribosomal RNA", at positions 28 to 507 of the family's 1533-position model. The record is from RNAcentral.